ACCUGGGUGGCUCAGUUGGUUGAGCAUCUGACUUCGGCUCAGGUCAUGAUCUCACAGUUCGUGGGUUUGAGCCCCGCAUCAGCUC
Molecule: transfer RNA, 85 nt
Filed under: Felis catus (domestic cat)
Lineage: Eukaryota; Metazoa; Chordata; Mammalia; Carnivora; Felidae
Also listed under: 3 other names
Rfam family: tRNA
About the family: Transfer RNA (tRNA) molecules are approximately 80 nucleotides in length. Their secondary structure includes four short double-helical elements and three loops (D, anti-codon, and T loops). Further hydrogen bonds mediate the characteristic L-shaped molecular structure. tRNAs have two regions of fundamental functional importance: the anti-codon, which is responsible for specific mRNA codon recognition, and the 3' end, to which the tRNAs corresponding amino acid is attached (by aminoacyl-tRNA synthetases). tRNAs cope with the degeneracy of the genetic code in two manners: having more than one tRNA (with a specific anti-codon) for a particular amino acid; and 'wobble' base-pairing, i.e. permitting non-standard base-pairing at the 3rd anti-codon position.
Source: Rfam by way of RNAcentral